CAGCAGCCACGGUAAUACGGAGGGUGCAAGCGUUAAUCGGAAUUACUGGGCGUAAAGCGCACGCAGGCGGUCUGUCAAGUCAGAUGUGAAAUCCCCGGGCUUAACCUGGGAACUGCAUUUGAAACUGGCAGGCUAGAGUCUUGUAGAGGGGGGUAGAAUUCCAGGUGUAGCGGUGAAAUGCGUAGAGAUCUGGAGGAAUACCGAUGGCGAAGGCAGCCAUCUGGCCUAAUACUGACGCUGAGGUACGAAAGCAUGGGGAGCAAACAGGAUUAGAUACCCGUGUAGUCCCUGUCUCUUAUAC
Molecule: ribosomal RNA, 301 nt
Filed under: uncultured bacterium
Lineage: Bacteria
Description: partial 16S ribosomal RNA
Rfam family: Bacterial small subunit ribosomal RNA
Source: RNAcentral